GGGGAGGCGAGAAAACGAAUGAGCGAAUAUAAACGAGCAGCAGAGCCGGCAACAACAACAAGGUCUGAGCUUGGACCCGCCGCCGUCUAAAGUCGUUGUCUGACAUCCCCAACCACAGGCCCACUUCCUGACCCACCACGCCCCCUCAUCAGGCGUCAGGCAUCACCCACCAGCUACCACUCACCACUCACCACUUACCACCCACCAGGCACCACGCCCGCCGACUGCCGGCAAACAAGCGUGACCUGCCACGCAGCAGAGCGACUUUGACGCACAGAAGCUGCACUUCGAGAAAAUGGUUAAAAUUGGAGAAAAUUACGAGAAAUUAUCGAACUGGCUAAGUAAUUUAGCAUAGUCCUUCGAGCCAGAUACUUGUGCAUACUAGAUAACCAGCGAUACGUUUUAUUUACUCCUACUGACUAUGUAAGUCAGCACGGUCCUUUGAGCCGGAUACCUGAGAGCUAGAAGACAGUGUU
Non-coding RNA from Drosophila melanogaster (fruit fly), 476 nucleotides. Lineage: Eukaryota; Metazoa; Arthropoda; Insecta; Diptera; Drosophilidae. The record is from Ensembl.